CAACUCCCAACUUAUUACCCUGUUUAGCUCUAUUCUCCUUGUUUACAUAGUAGCCAACAACCCCCAUGGAAGUAGCAGCAGUAUCUAAAGUGUCUAAGGUAUGUUGAUCCGUUGAAUUAUUUGCACCGGAUGAUAUUUUUUGAUAUCACUCUUUAAAGUUUGGCCUCUGUUAGCCUAGUGGCUAAAUAGUUUGUUUUUGAAAAUAAUUGAGUAAUUUUCUUGCAGUUAAAUUUAAUUCACUGAAAUAGUAAAAAUUGAAAGGUGGACUCAAAAAAGCCGAAACUCCUCAUAUUAUAUUUUUGAAAGGUAUUUUUGACCUUUUUCAUGGUGAUUAAUACUAGUAAUAUUUUCUUCACAAAAGAAAAAGGAGUUGCUGAGAAACAGCUUAACUGCAGCUCGACAGUGCUCUAACAACUACUGGUUUUUUCUGCAUGCUUUCUUGAACAUCAUGUUUUGUAGAUUAGUUAUACUAGAAUUUAGAAUGGUUAACUAAUGUAUCUCUUACAUAUAUGUUAUGUAUUAUUAUAUAUGGAGGAGGAAAAUGUUGCUGCAGACUGAAAUACAGUACUGAACAGCAAAGGAACCUUAUUGUGUGAUUGCAGCUUUAAAUAUUCCAUAUCUAGAUAGCUACUCUUGCUUCCACUUUAUCUUUUAAUUUAUUAAGAGGAAUAGGUCUUAUUUUGAUCCUUAUCCCUUUUUCGGUGGUCCUCAUUUUUAUUAAGGCAUUCGUCGAUGACUAAUUUUAUAUAGCAAAGAAGCUUCUCCUCAUCUACUCUUUUUCACCUAAUAGAACGAGAAAUAAGGAUUACAUAUGGUGAAAGUAUAGCUGUCAACCGGACUGGCAGGUCCGGGCUGGACACGAAAAAAACAGCUUGUCCGGUUAGUAUUCCGGGCGGCAUAGUGGUUGUUAACGGGUUGAGAAAAAUUCGCGUUAAUUAGGGCCCUUCUAGAUUCAGACUUUACGGCUUACGGGUCGGGGCUGGGCCGAGUUACUUUUUCUUUAGUAUAUUAUAUAAUUUUAUUCAAUGUUAUUGAUAUUUAUGUGUUUGUAAAUUUUUAAGGAUUAUAAUUUUAUAGUGACUAAAGUAAAUAUUUGAUGAAACUUUAAAUAAUAAGUAAUUGAGAAUUUAAGAGCAACAACAACAACAACAACCCAGUGUAAUCCCACUUAAUGUGGUCUGGGGAGGGUAGUGUCUACGCAGACCUUACCCCUACCCUUGGGUAGAGAGGCUGUUUCCAAACAGACCCCCGACAUCCUUCUCUCCAAGAACUUCCCACCUUACUCUGGGGGAGACUCGAACUCACAACCUCUUGCUUACCAUCAGAGCAACCUCUCUUUGUCUCAAUAAUGCAUGGCUCAUAGAACUUCCCACCUUGCUCUUGGGGAGACUCGAACUCACAACCUCUCCGGGGGUUGCUUACCAUCAGAGCAACCCCUCUUGUCAUUAAUUGAGAAUUUAAGAGCAAUAAGCAAUAUUAUCGAGAGAGAAUUGAGGUAUUUAUUAUAGUUUUAAAAGGUUAAUAUUGUAAUUUAUCAAUUAUUAGGGGUAAAGGCGCUAUUUUCUUAAGGAGGUAGGCCGAAAUGGCCAAACAUACAAAAAUGGCCGUUGCCCAACAGUCAUUUUUGAAUUUGACCGUUGGCAACGGUCAAUUUUUUUUUUUUUAAAAAUCCAGCGGUAACCAGGCUGGAUCGAGUUAUAGCCAGUGACAGACGCACGUGGUGGCAAACAGAUUCAAUUGAACCCGCUUCACAAAAAAAUAAUAUUGUGUACAUGUAUAAAUUAUAAUUAAAGCAGUGUAAAUUUUGUAUAAAUAUUUUAUUUGAACCCACUUGAUAACUACACUUUUAGGACUAAAGUUAUGUCCUUGUAUGAUUGAAAAUGCUUGUAUUAAAUUCUGAAUUUGCCACUGGUUAUAGCCUGGUAAAAACCCGGUAGUGGGUAACUGGUCUAACCGAGUUUUGAGGCACCGAUUACCAAAAUAUGUUCGUUUUGUUCCGGCUCCCCAACCCGUUCCACCCUCCUAGCAUACAGGGGUGACCUAUGCUGAAUCAGGUUGAAUCAGGCAGUCAUUGGGCUGGCCCGGCCAGAUUAACAGGUAUAGGUGAGACCAUCUCCAAGGUUGCACCAUUUCUUGCACCAAAUCCAAAUUUGAUGCAAGAAAUGAUAUUUUUUUGCUCCAAUGCAACACUAUUUCUUGCACUAUUAUAGAGCAUGAUUCAUCACUCUAUAUUUGAUUUAUUAAUAUUUUAUUCAAUCUUUUUAUUUUUAUAGUUUUAAUUUAUCAUAUAUUGUGUAUAUAAUUAAUUUAUAUGUUAAGAUCUUUAUAAUUUUAAUUUUAUAUUCUAUUUUUUAUAUAUUGAUUUUUGUAUAGAUAUUAUAGUUAUAUAAAAUUAUAAGUUAAUUUUAUUAUUAUUUUAUUUGUAUAAAAAGAAAUAUAACCAUUAUUUAAAAUAAAAAAUACAAAUAUAAGAUAGCUGAUGUUGCUAAUUGAAAAGUGAAAACCAAAAUUUAAAAAAGAAAAUAAAAAAUACAUAAAAAUAAAAAUACAUUAUUAUUAAAGUAUAUAAAAGGAGGAUACAUUAAAAUUGAAAUUACAUUAAAAGAGGUCCUACAUGAUAUAGUGACCACAUAUAUUAUACUGCACAACAUGAUAAUUGAGGAUGAGCGUGAUCUUAAUGCACCAAUUGAAGAUGCACGUGAAUGUCCAGCUCCUACGGUAGAAAUGACAAUAGAUGAAGAUCGAUUUGAAUAAUUUUUAGCCCGACACAAUAAAAGUAAGGAUAACGAUGCGCAUUUCGCACUUCAUAUAGUAGAUGAAGAUCAUCGAUUUGAACAAUUUUUAACUCGACACAAAAAAAUUAAGGAUAAAAUUGUGCAUUUCGCACUUUGUAAUGCAUUAAUCGAGCAUUUAUGAGAGAAUAAAGGCGAAAGUUAAAUAUUUAUAUGAUACUUAAAUUAAACUUGACUAUGAUGUAAUAUAUAUUUAAUUAUCUUUUGUUAAUAAUUUCACUUUUAGUUGAUUUAUCCUUUAAAAUAAUUUUGUAAUUAAUGAUUAUAUAAGUGGUGAAUGUGAGUUAUAUAUAAUGAAUAUGGAAAAAAAAGAUAGUAUUAGUUUGAAGGAAAUAAAAGAUGAAAAAUAAAUAGAAGAUAAUAGUAUAAUACAGAAGAGAGAAGAUAUGGAGUAAAAAAUGGUGUAAUGAUUGAAGUAAUUUUGGUGUGAAAUUUGGUGCAAGAAAUGGUGCUAGCCUUGGAGAUGGCCUAAAAUGGAAAGAAAAGAAAAUCAUAUCUGAUGAGUGUCUUCUCGGAUGAAAAGGCCAUUUGAUUUGGGAAUUUUUACCUCUUAUUGCAAAGGUUAACACCUUAUUUAUUUUAAAUAACCAUUUAAAAAAAUUAUAUUCUAUAGAUAUCUUUUAAAGUUUAUAGCAAAUUAUUUUUUGUUACCUCCUAACUUUAAGCGGUUAAAUACGCUAAUCAUUUAUAUUAUUUUCUUUCUCUCUCUAUUCACUUAACUAGUUCAUCCAAUUUUCAAUGAACUAGUCAUCCUUCAAACAAAUUGCAGUCUGCCAAAUUUCCGAUUGGUUUGUACAACAUCAGCCGCCGCCGACAAAAUUGAUUAAUUACCAUGAAAAUUUUAACAAAGGUAGUGUUGGAUUAAUGGAAAAUAAUAUUCCUCUCUUGUUUUCGACCAUGAAAUAUUAGAGGAAGAUGUUCCUGGAUAUACAUUUGCUGGUUUUGAGAAAGGAGAAGAAUUUACUGAUGAUUCAUCCGGAUAUACAUAUGAUGGUUAUAUUAGAGGAAGACGUUCCUGCAUAUACAUCUGCUGGUUUUCAGAAAGGAGAAGAACUUACUGGAUAUACAUCAGCUGGUUUUGAGAAAGGAGAAGAUGUUCCUUAGCUCUUUUAAUCUUGUUGGUUUCUUACUACCAGCUUCCGAUGAACGACGAAUUCUUCGAAAAUUAGGGUUUGUUCUUGAACAAAGAUGAUGGAGUUUAGGGCUGAGCAACUUGAUUUUCUAUUAAUACAUUGCAAUGUAUUUUGAUAUAUUUCAUUGUAUUCAUGUCUUUUUUUAAUUGUAAUUCAAUGAAUCUCGUUGUAUUCCAUGUAUUUCAUUGUAUUCACUAUCUUUUUUCUCAUUGUAUUUCAAUGUAUUCCGGAG
RNAcentral lists this long non-coding RNA (4157 nucleotides) under Nicotiana benthamiana. RNAcentral describes it as "long non-coding RNA (NBEN_LNC012156)". The record is from RNAcentral. Lineage: Eukaryota; Viridiplantae; Streptophyta; Magnoliopsida; Solanales; Solanaceae.